UGUUGAAGAUUAAGCCAUGCAUGUGUAAGUAUAAAGACCUAGUAGGAUGAAACUGCGGACGGCUCAUUACAACAGUUAUAGUUUCUUUGGUUAGUAUCAAAAGGAUAACUCUGUUAAUUGUAGAGCUAAUACUUGAGACAUUCCACUUUCUUUCGAGACUGUGGCGGCCGUACCCCGGUGCGGUUAUGAAUUAUUCCAUUCUGAAUGCUGGAAUAAGGACAAUUGUAGAAUCCCGAGGAUUUUUCAAGUAACCAAUGAGAAUUUCUGACUUAUCAACCUGUAGGUAAGGUAGUGGCUUACCUUGGUGAUCACGAGUAACGAGAAAUAAGGGUUUGACAUCGGAGAGGGAGCCUUCAAAAUGGCUACCACUUCCAAGGAAGGCAGCAGGCGCGAAAAUUACCCACUUGGGACUCCCAGAGGUAGUGAAGACAAAUAACUAAACUCUGUCCUAUGGAUAGAGUUUAAGGGAUGAGCUAGACGUUAACACUCUAGCGAAAGCGAUUGGAGGGCAAGUCUGGUGCCAGCAGCCGCGGUAAUUCCAGCUCCAAUAGUGUAUAUUAAAGUUGUUGUGAUUAAAAAGCUCGUAGUUGAAUUUGACCAGGACUUAGGCUCUUCCGCUCUGCACGCAGAGAGGAGGAGGCCUUCACUAGUCCUAAACACGCUGCACUUUGCCUCUUCGGAGGCGGGUGGAGAUAUUUACUUUGAAUAAAUAUGAGUGUUUAAAGCAAAGCAUUAGCUAAUUAAAUAUGAAGCAUGGGAUAAUAGAGAGGAGAUACUUACUUGCGCGCACUAUGUGUUACGGUGGUAUUUCUAGAUAAGGAUUAAUAGAAAGAGAUGGGGUGAUUUAUACGGAAAUGGGAGAGGUGAAAAUCCAUGAUCAUUUUAGGAUAAACUGAAGCGAAAGCAUUUCACUUAAAUCUUUUCAUUAAUCAAGAACGAAAGUUAGGGGAUCGAAGACGAUUAGAUACCGUCGUAGUCCUAACUAUAAACGAUGUCAACGAAGGAUUGGAUUGAACCAACGCCAGUGGUUGCAGAACCAACUGGCACUAUACUUCAGUUCAGGACUUGUGGGGAAACCUAUAGUUAAUGGACUUCAGGGGGAGUAUGCUCGCAAGGGUGAAACUUAAAGGAAUUGACGGAAGGGCACACCAGGAGUGGAGCCUGCGGCUUAAUCUGACUCAACACGGAGAAAUUUACCAGGUCCAGACAUUAGAAGGAUUGACAGAUUGAUAGCUCUUUCUUGAUUUAUUGGGUGGUGGUGCAUGGCCGUUCUUAGUUGGUGGAGUGAUUUGUCUGGUUAAUUCCGAUAACGAACGAGACCUUAACCUACUAACUAGACCGCGGAGUUACUCUCCACGGGACUUCUUAGAGGGACUGUCUGGCUAAACCUCAAGGAAGUUUAAGGCAAUAACAGGUCUGUGAUGCCCUUAGAUGUCCUGGGCUGCACGCGUGCUACACUGAUGCAUACAAUAAGUUCCUGGAUCGAAAGAUCUGUGGCAAUCUUUAAUGUGCAUCGUGAUUGGGAUAGAUCUUUGUAAUUAUGGAUCUUUAACGAGGAAUUCCUAGUAAGCGUAAGUCAUCAGCUUACGCUGAUUAAGUCCCUGCCCUUUGUACACACCGCCCGUCGCUCCUACCGAUUCCGAGUGAUUCGGUGAGCAUUUUGGACCUGCCACAAGCGGGAAAAUUCUGCGAACCAAAUCACUUAGAGG
RNAcentral lists this ribosomal RNA (1709 nucleotides) under uncultured Entamoeba. RNAcentral describes it as "SSU rRNA". It matches the Rfam family "Eukaryotic small subunit ribosomal RNA". The record is from RNAcentral. Lineage: Eukaryota; Evosea; Mastigamoebida; Endamoebidae.